UAAGUGCUUUACUAUAAAGUGAUCAAAUUAUGUUUUAUUUCUUACAUGCAAAGAAAAAAAAUGGUUAAAACUCUAAAGUUUGUGAAUGUUAUUAUUUUCUUUCUUUCACUUUUCCUUUCUGCACAUAACUUUUUCCUUGUUGCACAGAACAUAGACGCGAUUAUUAAAUGUGAAACUGUUGCUGAUUGUCCACCAGAUACUGAGCAUAAGAAAUAUAGGUGUGUAAAAAACAUAUGUAUAUAUCGUUGGUUUCUUUGAGUACUGGACUUAAUAGGUUGCCCUUACGCCAUGCAGGGAAGAAGAAAAUAAUAGUAUAUGCAAGAUACCUUUUGUUAGAAUAUCUCAUAAUAUGCAUUUAUUUAUUGUACUGGCAUUGAGUAAUUGAAUGUUUAAAUUUUUUUUUUUUUUUUUUAUUUCACCUAUAAGAAUAUUUGUAAUAGAUAAGUUGAAAAUAAAAAUAUUUUACUUUGAAAGCCUAUAA
This is a long non-coding RNA of Medicago truncatula (barrel medic), 481 nucleotides long. RefSeq lists it as uncharacterized. The record is from RefSeq and is a predicted model, not a curated record. NCBI's taxonomy places the organism in Eukaryota, Viridiplantae, Streptophyta, Magnoliopsida, Fabales, Fabaceae. The transcript is spliced from 2 exons.